RNAcentral lists this ribosomal RNA (469 nucleotides) under uncultured bacterium. RNAcentral's name for it is "partial 16S ribosomal RNA". It matches the Rfam family "Bacterial small subunit ribosomal RNA", at positions 28 to 508 of the family's 1533-position model. The record is from RNAcentral.
GACGAACGCUGGCGGCGUGCUUAACACAUGCAAGUCGAACGGAAAGGCCCUGCUUUUGUGGGGUGCUCGAGUGGCGAACGGGUGAGUAACACGUGAGUAACCUGCCCUUGACUUUGGGAUAACUUCAGGAAACUGGGGCUAAUAUCGGAUAGGAGCUCCUGCUGCAUGGUGGGGGUUGGAAAGUUUCGGCGGUUGGGUAUGGAAUCGCGGCUUAUCAGCUGGUUGGGGGGGUAGUGGCUUACCAAGGCUUUGACGGGUAGCCGGCCUGGGAGGGUGACCGGCCACCUUGGGACUGAGAUACGGCCCAGACUCCUACGGGAGGCAGCAGUGGGGAAUAUUGCACAAUGGGCGGAAGCCUGAUGCAGCAACGCCGCGUGCGGGAUGACGGCCUUCGGGUUGUAAACCGCUUUCGCCUGUGACGAAGCGUGAGUGACGGUAAUGGGUAAAGAAGCACCGGCUAACUACGUGC